CGCUAUAUAGUUUAUUUAAAACAGUAUAUUUUCAAUAUACAGAAAGCAGUGUACUUAUAACGG
Molecule: transfer RNA, 63 nt
Filed under: Tetraleurodes acaciae (acacia whitefly)
Lineage: Eukaryota; Metazoa; Arthropoda; Insecta; Hemiptera; Aleyrodidae
Description: tRNA-Glu
Source: RNAcentral